AUACGUAGGGAGCGAGCGUUGUCCAGAAUUACUGGGCGUAAAGGGCGCGUAGGCGGGAAAUUAAGUCAGGUGUGAAAACUCCGAGCUCAACUUGGAGAUUGCACUUGAAACUGGUAUUCUUGAGGGCAGGAGAGGAAAGUGGAAUUCCUAGUGUAGCGGUGAAAUGCGUAGAUAUUAGGAGGAACACUAGUGGCGAAGGCGGCUGUCUGGACUGCACCUGACGCUGAGGCGCGAAAGCGUGGGUGGCGAACGGGAUUAGAUACCCCGGUAGUCCACGCUGUAAACGAUGGGUACUAGGUGUAGGAGGUAUCGACCCCUUCUGUGCCGCAGUUAACGCAAUAAGUACCCCGCCUGGGGAGUACGGCCGCAAGGUUGAAACUCAAAGGAAUUGACGGG
Molecule: ribosomal RNA, 396 nt
Filed under: uncultured bacterium
Lineage: Bacteria
Description: partial 16S ribosomal RNA
Rfam family: Bacterial small subunit ribosomal RNA
Source: RNAcentral